RNAcentral lists this ribosomal RNA (564 nucleotides) under uncultured bacterium. Its description in RNAcentral is "bacterial SSU rRNA". It matches the Rfam family "Bacterial small subunit ribosomal RNA", at positions 8 to 583 of the family's 1533-position model. The record is from RNAcentral.
AGAGUUUGAUCCUGGCUCAGGAUGAACGCUGGCGGCGUGCCUAACACAUGCAAGUCGAACGGACUUAACAUGAAACCUAGUGAUUGUUAAGUUAGUGGCGGACGGGUGAGUAACGCGUGGAUAACCUGCCGUAUGCGGGGGGAUAACAGUUGGAAACAGCUGCUAAUACCGCAUAAGCGCACAGUACCGCAUGGUACGGUGUGAAAAGAUUUAUCGGCAUACGAUGGAUCCGCGUCCGAUUAGCCAGUUGGCGGGGUAACGGCCCACCAAAGCGACGAUCGGUAGCCGGCCUGAGAGGGCGGACGGCCACAUUGGGACUGAGACACGGCCCAAACUCCUACGGGAGGCAGCAGUGGGGAAUAUUGCACAAUGGGGGAAACCCUGAUGCAGCGACGCCGCGUGAGUGAAGAAGUAUCUCGGUAUGUAAAGCUCUAUCAGCAGGGAAGAAAAUGACGGUACCUGACUAAGAAGCCCCGGCUAACUACGUGCCAGCAGCCGCGGUAAUACGUAGGGGGCAAGCGUUAUCCGGAUUUACUGGGUGUAAAGGGAGCGUAGACAGCGCUG